Molecule: transfer RNA, 75 nt
Filed under: Pseudomonadota bacterium
Lineage: Bacteria; Pseudomonadati; Pseudomonadota
Also listed under: 1 other name
Description: tRNA-Thr
Rfam family: tRNA
About the family: Transfer RNA (tRNA) molecules are approximately 80 nucleotides in length.
Source: RNAcentral
GCCGCUGUGGCUCAGUGGUAGAGCACAUCCUUGGUAAGGAUGGGGUCGAGAGUCCGAUUCUCUCCAGCGGCACCA